RNAcentral lists this ribosomal RNA (275 nucleotides) under uncultured Staphylococcus sp. RNAcentral's name for it is "partial 16S ribosomal RNA". It matches the Rfam family "Bacterial small subunit ribosomal RNA", at positions 86 to 355 of the family's 1533-position model. The record is from RNAcentral. Lineage: Bacteria; Bacillati; Bacillota; Bacilli; Caryophanales; Staphylococcaceae.
CUGACGUUAGCGGCGGACGGGUGAGUAACACGUGGGUAACCUACCUAUAAGACUGGGAUAACUCCGGGAAACCGGGGCUAAUACCGGAUAAUACAUGAAACCGCAUGGUUUCAUGAUGAAAGACGGUUUUGCUGUCACUUAUAGAUGGACCCGCGGCGUAUUAGCUAGUUGGUAAGGUAACGGCUUACCAAGGCAACGAUACGUAGCCGACCUGAGAGGGUGAUCGGCCACACUGGAACUGAGACACGGUCCAGACUCCUACGGGAGGCAGCAAU